Molecule: ribosomal RNA, 850 nt
Filed under: uncultured bacterium
Lineage: Bacteria
Description: SSU rRNA
Rfam family: Bacterial small subunit ribosomal RNA
Source: RNAcentral
UACGUAGGGGGCGAGCGUUAUCCGGAUUCACUGGGCGUAAAGAGCGUGUAGGCGGCUUCCAAAGUUGGCAGUGAAAGGUCCUGGCUUAACUGGGAUAUGCCUGCCAAUACUGGGGAGCUAGAGGGCAGCAGAGGAAAGUGGAACUCGCGGUGUAGCGGUGAAAUGUGUAGAUAUCGCGAGGAACACCAGUGGCGAAGGCGGCUUUCUGGGCUGUUCCUGACGCUGAGACGCGAAAGCGUGGGGAGUGAAGCGGAUUAGAUACCCGCGUAAUCCACGCCUUAAACGGUGGAUACUAGGUAUGGGGGGUAUCGACCCUCUCCGUGCCGAAGCUAACGCCUUAAGUAUCCCGCCUGGGGACUACGGCCGCAAGGCUAAAACUCAAAGGAAUUGACGGGGGCCCGCACAAGCAGCGGAGCGUGUGGUUUAAUUCGAUGCAACACGAAGAACCUUACCAAGGCUUGACAUGCCGGUAGUAGGAACCCGAAAGGGCAACGACCCACCUUCGGGUGGGAGCCAGCACAGGUGCUACAUGGCUGUCGUCAGCUCGUGCCGUGAGGUGUUGGGUUAAGUCCCAUAACGAGCGCAACCCUUGUCCUGUGUUGAUUUCUCACAGGAGACCGCCCAGGAAUUCUGGGAGGAAGGUGAGGAUGACGUCAAGUCAGCAUGGCCCUUAUGCCUUGGGCGACACACACGCUCCAAUGGACGGUACAAAUGGUUGCGAAAGAGCGAUCUGGAGCUAAUCCCAGAAAGCCGUCCUCAGUUCGGAUUGCAGGCUGAAACCCGCCUGCAUGAAGGAGGAGUUGCUAGUAACCGCAGGUCAGCAUACUGCGGUGAAUACGUUCUCGGGCCU